AGGGAAUCUUCCACAAUGGACGCAAGUCUGAUGGAAGCAAACCCCGUGAGUGAAGAAGGUCUUCGGAUCGUAAAGCUCUGUUGUUGGUGAAGAAGGAUAGAGGCAGUAACUGGUCUUUAUUUGACGGUAAUCAACCAGAAAAUCACGGCUAACUACGUGCCAGCAGCCGCGGUAAUACGUAGGUGGCAAGCGUUGUCCGGAUUUAUUGGGCGUAAAGCGAGCGCAGGCGGAAUGAUAAGUCUGAUGUGAAAGCCCACGGCUCAACCGUGGAACUGCAUCGGAAACUGUCAUUCUUGAGUGCAGAAGAGGAGAGUGGAACUCCAUGUGUAGCGGUGGAAUGCGUAGAUAUAUGGAAGAACACCAGUGGCGAAGGCGGCUCUCUGGUCUGCAACUGACGCUGAGGCUCGAAAGCAUGGGUAGCGAACAGGAUUAGAUACCCUGGUAGUCCAUGCCGUAAACGAUGAGCGCUAGGCGUUGGGGACUUUCCGGUCCUCAGUGCCGCAGCAAACGCAUUAAGCGCUCCGCCUGGGGAGUACGACCGCAAGGUUG
This 549-nucleotide ribosomal RNA is filed under the name uncultured bacterium. RNAcentral's name for it is "partial 16S ribosomal RNA". It matches the Rfam family "Bacterial small subunit ribosomal RNA", at positions 356 to 896 of the family's 1533-position model. The record is from RNAcentral.